Molecule: ribosomal RNA, 305 nt
Filed under: uncultured bacterium
Lineage: Bacteria
Description: bacterial SSU rRNA
Rfam family: Bacterial small subunit ribosomal RNA
Source: RNAcentral
ACGGGCCUACGGGAGGCAGCAGUGAGGAAUAUUGGUCAAUGGCCGAGAGGCUGAACCAGCCAAGUCGCGUGAGGGAUGACGGCCCUACGGGUUGUAAACCUCUUUUGUCGGGGAGCAAGACCCGCCACGAGUGGCGGAGCGAGAGUACCCGAAGAAAAAGCAUCGGUUAACUCCGUGCCAGCAGCCGCGGUAAUACGGAGGAUGCGAGCGUUAUCCGGAUUUAUUGGGUUUAAAGGGGGCGCAGGCGGACCAUCAAGUCAGCGGUAAAAUCGUGGGGCCCAACCCCAUCCCGCCGUUGAAACUGG